AGAGGAAGUAAAAGUCGUAACAAGGUUUCCGUAGGUGAACCUGCGGAAGGAUCAUUAUUGAAAUAGCACGACGGGAAGCUGUUGCUGGCCCUAGUGGCCGUGCACGCUUUCUGUCCUUCAUUUCUCCAUCUAUUUGUGCACCUCUUGCGUAGACCCCUCUGUUAGGACUGCUUUGCAAAAUUGAUUGUGGGCUUUCCUGUUUCUACGUCGUCAUAUACACCAGUGUAACGAUUUGGAAUGAAUGGAAUUUUGAUGCAAUAUAUAAAGCACAACUUUCAGCAACGGAUCUCUUGGCUCUCGCAUCGAUGAAGAACGCAGCGAAAUGCGAUAAGUAAUGUGAAUUGCAGAAUUCAGUGAAUCAUCGAAUCUUUGAACGCAUCUUGCGCUCCUUGGUAUUCCUAGGAGCAUGCCUGUUUGAGUGUCAUAAAUAUCUCAACCGCACCCUAUGGUGGUGUGGCUUGGAUUUGGGGGUGGCAGGCUUAGUCUGCUCCCCUGAAAUACAUUGGCGGUGCCCGACGUGAUGUGAUAAAUUAUCCGUCAUCUGUUUAUGUAGUCUGCCGUGUCGUGUUGGAGUUGAUAA
Molecule: ribosomal RNA, 580 nt
Filed under: uncultured Cortinariaceae
Lineage: Eukaryota; Fungi; Basidiomycota; Agaricomycetes; Agaricales; Cortinariaceae
Description: eukaryotic LSU rRNA
Rfam family: 5.8S ribosomal RNA (bases 271-424)
Source: RNAcentral